Molecule: ribosomal RNA, 491 nt
Filed under: uncultured bacterium
Lineage: Bacteria
Description: partial 16S ribosomal RNA
Rfam family: Bacterial small subunit ribosomal RNA
Source: RNAcentral
AUUGAACGCUGGCGGCAUGCUUUACACAUGCCAGUCGAACGGUAACAGGCCUUCGGGUGCUGACGAGUGGCGAACGGGUGAGUAAUGCAUCGGAACGUACCCAGAGGUGGGGGAUAACGCAGCGAAAGCUGUGCUAAUACCGCAUGUGAUCUGAGGAUGAAAGCGGGGGACCGAGCAGCAAUGUUUGGCCUCGCGCCUUUGGAGCGGCCGAUGUCGGAUUAGCUAGUUGGUGGGGUAAAGGCCUACCAAGGCGACGAUCCGUAGCUGGUCUGAGAGGACGACCAGCCACACUGGGACUGAGACACGGCCCAGACUCCUACGGGAGGCAGCAGUGGGGAAUUUUGGACAAUGGGCGCAAGCCUGAUCCAGCAAUGCCGCGUGCGGGAAGAAGGCCUUCGGGUUGUAAACCGCUUUUGGCAGGAACGAAACGGUGUCCGCUAAUACCGGGCGCUAAUGACGGUACCUGCAGAAUAAGCACCGGCGAACUACGU